This 4179-nucleotide long non-coding RNA is filed under the name Carassius auratus (goldfish). RNAcentral's name for it is "lncRNA (ENSCARG00000005704.1)". Lineage: Eukaryota; Metazoa; Chordata; Actinopteri; Cypriniformes; Cyprinidae. The record is from RNAcentral.
CGGUUUUCGCCUCAGACACGGAGGUCUUAACUGCCUCAUGUAACGUUACUGAACGGUGGAUGUACUUUUAAUAUAACGUCUGUGAAUGUAUUUUGUCAUAUUUACAUAAGAUUUUACAUUAUCUGUACUUUUUGAGGCGUUAACAGACAGUUAUGGUCACGGUCAGGCUCAUGUUAAUUUGUCUUUUUUCACGGUUAAACUGAAUGUAUGUUUGUCUCCUAAAGGAAACGGCAUUGUGUAGUAAAGACUAGCAUAAUUAUUUUGAGGCUGUUGAAGUGGUAACUGUUAAAAGUAUGUUUUACAUGUAAUAUUUCUUGUCGAGCUCCUGUCUUCAUUGUCCUCGCGCUGAGAGUUAAAGACACAGAAGCUGUUUGUGUGAGGAGUCACAGACCUGUGUGAGGAUGAGGAGGAGGUGUUCUUCAGAAGAGAGGGACAGACGGUUUAAGGAGAGUAAACUUCAGAAUAACAUCAAGUUAUCUUAUUAUUUUAGUCUUCGUAAAAAUAGUUUUUUUUUUUUUUUAGAUGUUGAAAUCCAGAGACAAGAUAACUUCAUUCUUUUGAGACUGAUGUAAGUUAAGUUAUUAUUACUUUUUUUUUUUAGAAAAUUGUUUCGGUUGUGUCCUGCCCGUUAACUUCACAUUUUGAUGCAAAAACAAUAUAUGUGUAUUAUGUGUGUGUAUGUAUGUGUAUAUAUAUAUAUAUAUAUAUGUAUGUAUGUAUAUGUUAAUAUUUUAUUGAAACCAUUGAUGUCCCUCUUUGCAGAACUCAAACUAACUGGAGUUAAGGACACAGAAGUCUGCUUGUGUGAGGAGGAGGUUUUCUCAGCUUCUUCUGAAGAGAGGGAAAGAUCGUUUAAGAUGUUAAAAGCAAGAGACAUGGGAGAGCAUCAUUCCUUUGAGAUUUUAUAAAUAAAACCAACUUUGUAGUUGUCUGAUUUGGAGAGUCAUUUAUUCUUGGUCUUCACUCUUAAAGGUAAAGUUCACACAAAAAAAUCAUUUACUUGCCCUCAAGUCAUUCCAAACCUAUAAGACUUUUGUCUGUCUUUACAACAUAAAUUAAUAUAUUUUUAGUUUUCUCAUAAUAUUUGUUAAUCCAUUUAUAGUUUAGAUAAUCAGUAUUUUCAAGCUUCAUAAAUAGAGUUAUUGUAGAAGUAAAUUCUGAUAUUUAUAUAUGAAUACAUCUUAAAUUAUAUGAUAGCAAACAUGUAUGUUCAAAAUAAAAUACUGGUCUCCCAGACUAGCAAUGGAGGACACAAAAAGAGAAUAUUAAAUAUAUUCAUAUGUUUUCCAAAAAAUGAGCAGAGUUUGUAUUAGUCUGGAAAAACAUGGGGAGAGUAAAUUAUGAACAUUUUAAUUAUUUGGUGAACUAACGGUUUGAAGAGCAGCCCUCCAUGUACAUGAAUAUUGUGAGGUAUGUGAAUGUCAUGUCUGUUUUAAUGUUUCAGUAAAGAAGCUUUCUGAAAGCAAUAUUUAUUCAAACAAUAUCACCUGCCCUCACAGUAGUGCUGCCAUUAUAGCAUUCUGGAGCGCUGUGGCUCCAGACAUUAAAGGGGGGGGUGAAAUGCUCGUUUUCACUCAACAUCCUUGUAACUGCCUGAUGCCAGUUUAUUUCUGUAUUAGCACUUUUACUAUUCUGUUUCUGUAUUUGAAUAUUAACAGCAAGACGGAACUAAUUAUUGGUUCCACCCGGAGGUUUCCGGCCGGGCGCUUUUGAGCGACGCACUGAGAAAAACUUUACGGCGAAAGAGACUGAUUAUUCCGCUGUUGUAGUGUUUAAGUGGAUAAAUUUACAAGAAAAUAGACAGAAGAUGAUAUGGGAGAUCUGAAAGGAUGUUUAGCACCUCUUUGUGAUAAGCAGCAAUGAGGUUUGUUAACUGUUAAUUUUACUAUAAGGGUGUUUGUGUUGAUAUAUGUUUUCAUGUGCCAUUUUUUCUGAUGUAUAACAUAUAAAGUAUCUAGCUGUAAAUGGCUGGAUUGUAACACAAUAUGUUGAGACAUGCAUAUAGCAUUAUUUUGUUAAUUUGUUAAUUUUCUUUCUUCAAACCAGUUCUCACGGGUUGACCAACAUUAAAGCCCUGUAUUUUAAUCAAGACCUCUUGCCUCAUGCCUGUCACUGGGGGAGCUACAAUCCUGUUAAUCUUGAGUACCUAUAGAGUAGUACUGCAGCCUUCACACCUCCAAAAAGUAUUUAGUGUUAUUAUAUUCAUAAGAGAAAGAUAGUCUGUACCGAUUUUUCCCGGAAAAACACGAGCGCCUGGAGGUGUGACCUGUGGGCGGAGCUAAAGAAUCACGAGCGCCAGUUGCGUUGAGAAGCUGUGAAGGCUGAAACUGAACGAGAGCAGCAGCAGCAAGGACUCGCUCCGAGCGGGGCUCGAACCCAGGUCUCUAGGCGGACGCACUAACAAGGAGGCAGAGAUAUUUUAAGCAGUUUUACUCACCGCCUGUGGUUCCAGCACACAAUCGUGACCCUUUUUCGUUGGGAUUGCAUCAUCCUUAAGAAAUAAACGAUACGCAAAUCCGUCGUCAUACUGGGCUUUGUUUGUAAAACAAGCAUUUUAGAAAUGCAGGGAACAAACACAAACACUUGCACAACUCCGUUCAUGCUCUGUAAAAAUAAACUCCAUCCACUGGUCCCUUAAUGCUGUUUCUCUUUUGGUAAUCUGUGCAGGGUUGUCUUGCCCUGGCAACCAAAAACACACUUCUUUUGUGACAUUUCGCGACGCUCUCGCUCUGAUCAGUGAUUGUCUGUGCACAGCCUCUCUCUGCUCUGCUAUAUGGGAGCACGAGCUCUUCCGGCAAACGUGCCCUCAGGACCCAUAUAAGGAAAUUCCGCUCCAUCUAACGUCACACAGGAGCCAUACUCGGAAAAAAACUUUCCGAAACUUGUGACAAAGGAGUAUUUUUGGAACAGAAAUACUCCUUCAAACGUACAACUUAAUUUUUGAAACUUUGUCCAUGUUUAGCAUGGGAAUCCAACUCUUUAACAGUGUAAAAAACUCAGUAUGCAUGAAAUAGCAUUUCACCCCCCCUUUAAACAACCGCACAGUGUGUUGAACCUUUAAAACUGAUUAUUUACCUAUCCUUACGGAUGUGAAUACACCUCUACCUGAAAAUUGAUAGUUUAAUUAAAUGUUAAAUUUUUUCAAAUGUGUUUCUCUUAGGCCACUGAUGAAGAACAGGUGGUGACUGGGAUGAAUGCUGGUCAGAGAGGAGAAUCUUCUUUCCCCUAAACUGAUGCAGCGGUGGUUUUAAAGGAGGACGCUGCCCUGGAUGAUGUAGAAGAUGUCACAUAUGCUGAUGGGGUUUCUUCAUGAUUACAUCAAUUAUGCUAAAGAGAUCAUGAAAAUUGACCGUUAUGCAUGAUCUGUAUUCAUGGACUAUGAAACAAACUGUAAGUGUAUAAUUUGUAAAAAAAAAAAAAAAAAAAAAAAAAAAAAAGUUAAAUGCUUUUUCUGUGUUGUUUAGUAGAAGAGUUUACACUCUGUCAUUCAUACACCUGCUCACAUUCUUUCACUCAGACACACACGCGCGUCUGUUAAAUGUUAUAAUAUCAAAGUUAAUGUUGUGAUUUAUUUGUGUACUGUCAUGCCAGAAUAGUUGGAAAAAAACCUAACUAAUUGUAAAUUUAUUGUGUUUUCGUAUAUUUUUAUACAAUAUGUCCAAUUUGAUCUUAAGUUAUAUUCAUCAAAUGUUCAAUGCUUUAUGAACUCUGUAGCUGUUAAUGCCAUCCUUUUCUGCAUUUCUUCUAACAUGUUACUUUUUGACUUUUCUCUUGUUUUAAAUAAAUAUUUUCCUUUUGAUAAUUAUUUGUGUAAAAGUGAUAUUUAAAAUGAACAACAUUUGUAGGUUUAAUGCCUAGCUCAAUUUGGGUUAAUUUUAACGUAGAAAUGCAUUGUUUCCCCACAUGGCUGCACUCUGCGAGUUUAUUUUCUGCCAGCAAGGAGGCGCUAAGAGCAGGAGAGGUAGGUUUCUCCGGUAACGGCUGCAGAGCGGCGCUGAGCUCACAAACGCUGCCUUAUCAAGCACAUGCGAAAUGAUAUCGAACAUUUUCUAAAUACAGUAGUUUUCCUUCUGAAAUACAGUGAUAAAAAACACCCGCUCUGGUUUUUGAAACCCUGCAAUAUAGUCAUUUUAAACCAUAAAAAAGGCAACCCAGCAGGCUGGGUUAAAUAUGAUAACC